AACUUCAUUGCUGUUUGCUAUACUGAAAAGGUUUCCAUUAUUCAACCAAUACAGAAAUGCAAUUGCAUUGCAUUAUCCCAAUAUAUAUAUUCUUCAUAU
Long non-coding RNA from Ipomoea nil (Japanese morning glory), 99 nucleotides. RefSeq lists it as uncharacterized. NCBI's taxonomy places the organism in Eukaryota, Viridiplantae, Streptophyta, Magnoliopsida, Solanales, Convolvulaceae. The record is from RefSeq and is a predicted model, not a curated record. The transcript is spliced from 3 exons.